Molecule: ribosomal RNA, 778 nt
Filed under: Ligilactobacillus salivarius
Lineage: Bacteria; Bacillati; Bacillota; Bacilli; Lactobacillales; Lactobacillaceae
Description: bacterial SSU rRNA
Rfam family: Bacterial small subunit ribosomal RNA
Source: RNAcentral
GACGCUGGCGGCGUGCUAUACAUGCAAGUCGAACGAAACUUUCUUACACCGAAUGCUUGCAUUCACCGUAAGAAGUUGAGUGGCGGACGGGUGAGUAACACGUGGGUAACCUGCCUAAAAGAAGGGGAUAACACUUGGAAACAGGUGCUAAUACCGUAUAUCUCUAAGGAUCGCAUGAUCCUUAGAUGAAAGAUGGUUCUGCUAUCGCUUUUAGAUGGACCCGCGGCGUAUUAACUAGUUGGUGGGGUAACGGCCUACCAAGGUGAUGAUACGUAGCCGAACUGAGAGGUUGAUCGGCCACAUUGGGACUGAGACACGGCCCAAACUCCUACGGGAGGCAGCAGUAGGGAAUCUUCCACAAUGGACGCAAGUCUGAUGGAGCAACGCCGCGUGAGUGAAGAAGGUCUUCGGAUCGUAAAACUCUGUUGUUAGAGAAGAACACGAGUGAGAGUAACUGUUCAUUCGAUGACGGUAUCUAACCAGCAAGUCACGGCUAACUACGUGCCAGCAGCCGCGGUAAUACGUAGGUGGCAAGCGUUGUCCGGAUUUAUUGGGCGUAAAGGGAACGCAGGCGGUCUUUUAAGUCUGAUGUGAAAGCCUUCGGCUUAACCGGAGUAGUGCAUUGGAAACUGGAAGACUUGAGUGCAGAAGAGGAGAGUGGAACUCCAUGUGUAGCGGUGAAAUGCGUAGAUAUAUGGAAGAACACCAGUGGCGAAAGCGGCUCUCUGGUCUGUAACUGACGCUGAAGUUCGAAAGCGUGGGUAGCAACAGGAUAGAU